AUUUAGAUAUAUAUCGGUUAUGGAUGAGCUUGCGGGGUAUUAGGUAGUUGGUGUGGUAAUGGCGCACCAAGCCCAAGAUACCUAGCCGGUUUGAGAGAACGAUCGGCCACACUGGGACUGAGACACGGCCCAGACGCUUACGAGCGGCAGCAGUGGGGAAUAUUGGACAAUGGGCGAAAGCCUGAUCCAGUGAUAUCGCUUUGGGGAUGACGGCGACAUACGUUGUAAACCCAAUGAAGUACGUUUAGAUUAUGACCGUACGUAUUUUAGAAGUCCCGG
RNAcentral lists this ribosomal RNA (279 nucleotides) under uncultured Alphaproteobacteria bacterium. Its description in RNAcentral is "partial 16S ribosomal RNA". It matches the Rfam family "Bacterial small subunit ribosomal RNA", at positions 201 to 496 of the family's 1533-position model. Lineage: Bacteria; Pseudomonadati; Pseudomonadota; Alphaproteobacteria. The record is from RNAcentral.